Molecule: unclassified non-coding RNA, 431 nt
Filed under: soil metagenome
Description: partial contains 5.8S ribosomal RNA, internal transcribed spacer 2, and large subunit ribosomal RNA
Rfam family: 5.8S ribosomal RNA (bases 1-120)
Source: RNAcentral
GAUGAAGAACGCAGCGAAAUGCGAUACGUAAUGUGAAUCGCAGAAUUCAGUGAAUCAUCGAAUCUUUGAACGCAUAUUGCGCUCUCUGGUAUUCCGGAGAGCAUGCUUGUUUGAGUAUCAGUAAACACCUCAACUCCCCUUUCUUUUUUGAAAUGGGAGCUGGACUUGAGUGAUCCCAACGCUUUUCUCACCGAAAAGUGGCGGGUUACUUGAAAUGCAGGUGCAGCUGGACUUUUCUCUGAGCUAAAAGCAUAUCUAUUUAGUCUGCCUAAAAACAGAUUAUUACCUUUGCUGCAGCUAACAUAAAGGAGAUUAGUUCUUGUGCUGACUGAUGCAGGAUUCACAGAGACAGCUUCGGCUGGCCUUUGUAAACUCGAUCUCAAAUCAAGUAAGACUACCCGCUGAACUUAAGCAUAUCAAUAAGCGGAGGA